GAUGAACGCUGGCGGCGUGCCUAAUACAUGCAAGUCGAGCGAACAGACGAGGAGCUUGCUCCUCUGACGUUAGCGGCGGACGGGUGAGUAACACGUGGAUAACCUACCUAUAAGACUGGGAUAACUUCGGGAAACCGGAGCUAAUACCGGAUAAUAUAUUGAACCGCAUGGUUCAAUAGUGAAAGACGGUUUUGCUGUCACUUAUAGAUGGAUCCGCGCCGCAUUAGCUAGUUGGUAAGGUAACGGCUUACCAAGGCGACGAUGCGUAGCCGACCUGAGAGGGUGAUCGGCCACACUGGAACUGGGAAACGGUCCAGCAUCCUACGGGAGGCAGCAGUAGGGAAUCUUCCGAAAUGGGCGAAAGCCUGACGGAGCAACGCCGCGUGAGUGAUGAAGGUCUUCGGAUCGUAAAACUCUGUUAUUAGGGAAGAACAAAUGUGUAAGUAACUAUGCACGUCUUGACGGUACCUAAUCAGAAAGCCACGGCUAACUACGU
This 496-nucleotide ribosomal RNA is filed under the name uncultured bacterium. RNAcentral's name for it is "partial 16S ribosomal RNA". It matches the Rfam family "Bacterial small subunit ribosomal RNA", at positions 28 to 506 of the family's 1533-position model. The record is from RNAcentral.